AUGGGCAAGCUUUCAGUUGGCCUAACCAUCCCAUUUGGCCUUCGGAUUGUAAUACUUGGGCUUGGGAUAGUUGACCUAGGUAGACUUCUAUCCAUCCCUGUUGAUGCGCCAGAUGUUGAUGGACUCUCAAACCUCUGCAUGGAUGUUGGUGCGCUGUCCACCGGACGACCAACCUUACCAUUUCCCUUGUGCAGAGCAUUAGCAGGGCUUCUGAGCAACGGAGAGUUGGUGCCAAUUUCUUUCCUUGCAGUCUCUUUAUUUGGGCUCUCAGUUCUCUUCUGCACCAGUAUGCUAAUGUUACUGAUACGCUGCCCCGUUCCCUCUUUCCUUGGCACAGAAUCAGUAGAGUUGGAGAGAGGUCUCGUGACUUUGACUCUUUCCUUCUCCACCAUAGGUGUUGUACUAAAGCCAUCAGAGCCUCCUUGA
Molecule: ribosomal RNA, 426 nt
Filed under: Triticum aestivum (bread wheat)
Lineage: Eukaryota; Viridiplantae; Streptophyta; Magnoliopsida; Poales; Poaceae
Description: partial small subunit ribosomal RNA
Source: RNAcentral